This 463-nucleotide ribosomal RNA is filed under the name uncultured bacterium. RNAcentral's name for it is "bacterial SSU rRNA". It matches the Rfam family "Bacterial small subunit ribosomal RNA", at positions 917 to 1382 of the family's 1533-position model. The record is from RNAcentral.
GGGCCCGCACAAGCAGCGGAGCAUGUGGUUUAAUUCGAAGCAACGCGAAGAACCUUACCAGGUCUUGACAUCGUCUGCAUAGAGUAGAGAUACUUGAAACCCUUCGGGGCAGAUAGACAGGUGGUGCAUGGUUGUCGUCAGCUCGUGUCGUGAGAUGUUGGGUUAAGUCCCGCAACGAGCGCAACCCUUGUAAUUAGUUGCUACUAUUAAGUUAAGCACUCUAAUUAGACUGCCGUGGAUAACACGGAGGAAGGUGGGGAUGACGUCAAAUCAUCAUGCCCCUUAUGACCUGGGCUACACACGUGCUACAAUGGCUGUAACAAAGAGAUGCGAACCAGUGAUGGGGAGCAAAACUUAGAAAAGCAGUCCCAGUUCGGAUUGAUGGCUGCAACCCGCCAUCAUGAAGCCGGAGUUGCUAGUAAUCGCGAAUCAGCAUGUCGCGGUGAAUACGUUCCCGGGCCUU